Bos taurus (domestic cattle) is the source of this 1281-nucleotide long non-coding RNA. The record is from Ensembl. NCBI's taxonomy places the organism in Eukaryota, Metazoa, Chordata, Mammalia, Artiodactyla, Bovidae.
GACCCGUCGCCCUGGCAACCCCCGACGCGCGCGCGGCUGCCAAUGAAGCGGAAGGAGGGCGGGGUGGGGCCAAGGUGCAGCUGAGUUGGGUCCUGGAGCUCCGGCCCGCGGCCCGCUUUCCCACCCGUCGGGCGCCGGAGACAGCACUAACCCAGGGAACCCAAGAACCGCGCCCCGCAAGCCUGGCUCCGUGCCAACACAAACCCGACGACUGACGCUGUCUACGCUUCCAGCCACAGCGAGCCGCUUCGUGUGCGGUUUGUAGGCGCCCAGAGCUGCAAGUCCGGGAAGGAAACAAGGACUGAGGAAAUGCCGGCGCGCGACCCAAGACUCCGGACAAGUGGCUCUCCAGCAGGGACUGAGAGGCGAGGUCAAUGCCCGCCAGCGUGCGUGUCCAGUCUUCCCGCUAGGGUCACAUUAGGGGAGUAACUCAGAACAGUGCUCUUUCUGGGCUCUUUCAGGGUGGGUCGAGGAUCUGCGGGGACCCAAGCUUGGCUCCGUACCCCUCCCCGCCCGGUACACCCUCAGCGCGCCGCAGGUUCCGGGUUAGUGCACUCACCCCUUCUGCCGAGUUCCUCCAGCUGUGCUUAAGGUCGGUGGGUAACUGCGGUGGACAGAGGACUGGAGCACACGAGCGCCUUUGAGCACCACAAACGGUGACCACACUCGUUCUGUAACGCUUCCUUUUGCACACGCUCUCACCAGCAGCCUUUUUGCCCCUGACUUCCCUCCUACUCCAAGCCCUCCUGCUAGAGCUGCCAGCAGAAACACUCCCUCUGGUUUAUUGCCAGCCUGUCAUGUGCCCAGCACUGUACUAAAAGCACUGCGUUGAAUCCUUGCCACAAACCUAUGAGACAAUCCCCAUCUCCCAGAGGCAACGGUGAUCCUGACCUCUAUCAUCAUGGAUCAGAUGCUGUACCUCGCCUCCCACCAGGCCCUUCUCAGUGGGGAAAGGUAAAGCGCGCUGUCGUUCUGGGCCCACGCAGGCUGGCAGCGGGGCAAUCGUGUUGAUGAAUCACGCCGGCGCUGCGGGCGCCCAGCCCUUGUCGAGGCGUCACUAAUGAAUUAGCUUCAGCCCCAGCACGGGGCCUCUCAGCCUUUUCCCACUCCCCCGAAAGGCAGGAAACUGAAACCUGGGAGCCAGGAGGGGCUCUGACAGCUCCAGGAAUUCACCCAGACCCCAGCCAGCCCCUCUGCCCACACGUGCUGGAAAAAUGUCCAAAGGCCAGGCCCCUCAGGCCCCCUGAAACAGUUUCUCCAAUUCUGGUCAGGAGCUAGAAC